GAGUUUGAUCCUGGCUCAGGAUGAACGCUAGCGGCAGGCCUAACACAUGCAAGUCGAGGGGUAACAGGAGAGCUUGCUUUUGCUGACGACCGGCGCACGGGUGCGUAACGCGUAUGCAACCUACCUCAUACUGGAGCAUAGCCCUUGGAAACGAGGAUUAAUACUCCAUGGUAUCAUGAAUUCGCAUGUUUUUAUGAUUAAAGAAUUUCGGUAUGAGAUGGGCAUGCGUCCCAUUAGCUAGUUGGUGAGGUAACGGCUCACCAAGGCGACGAUGGGUAGGGGGCCUGAGAGGGUGGUCCCCCACACUGGUACUGAGACACGGACCAGACUCCUACGGGAGGCAGCAGUGAGGAAUAUUGGUCAAUGGAGGCAACUCUGAACCAGCCAUGCUGCGUGAAGGAUGACGGCCCUAUGGGUUGUAAACUUCUUUUAUAUGGGAAGAAACUUAUCUACGUGUAGAUAACUGACGGUACCAUACGAAUAAGGAUCGGCUAACUCCGUGCCAGCAGCCGCGGUAAUACGGAGGAUCCAAGCGUUAUCCGGAUUCAUUGGGUUUAAAGGGUCCGUAGGCGGAUU
Molecule: ribosomal RNA, 576 nt
Filed under: uncultured bacterium
Lineage: Bacteria
Description: bacterial SSU rRNA
Rfam family: Bacterial small subunit ribosomal RNA
Source: RNAcentral